This 211-nucleotide long non-coding RNA is filed under the name Lathyrus oleraceus (garden pea). RNAcentral's name for it is "Pisum sativum (pea) long non-coding RNA (PSAT_LNC005275)". The record is from RNAcentral. Lineage: Eukaryota; Viridiplantae; Streptophyta; Magnoliopsida; Fabales; Fabaceae.
GAUAGGGUCUAGGGAGACCCAGUUUUGAUCAGAUGAAUUCAUUUGGCCAACCACCAUCAACCAACUUGCUAACCUUCAAUUAUUUGGACUUUCUUGGAUCAUGGUAGAUCAUAAAUGCAUAAGAUGAUGAAUUUUGAAAGUUCCCUUGAGAGAUUUGAUCAAUUGGUGAGAUAGCUUGUUGGAGAAGUUACUCAACAUACCCAGUCAAACU